This 253-nucleotide ribosomal RNA is filed under the name uncultured bacterium. Its description in RNAcentral is "partial 16S ribosomal RNA". It matches the Rfam family "Bacterial small subunit ribosomal RNA", at positions 524 to 776 of the family's 1533-position model. The record is from RNAcentral.
UACAGAGGUCUCAAGCGUUGUUCGGAUUCAUUGGGCGUAAAGGGUGUGUAGGUGGCGCGCUAAGUCGGGUGUGAAAUUUCGGAGCUUAACUCCGAAACUGCAUUCGAUACUGGCGUGCUUGAGGACUGGAGAGGAGACUGGAAUUCAUGGUGUAGCAGUGAAAUGCGUAGAGAUCAGGCGGAACACCCGUGGCGAAGGCGGCCAGCUGGGCCGUCCCUGACGCUGAGGCGCGAAGGCGUGGGGAGCGAACGGG